CUACUGGAAACGGUAG
Molecule: ribosomal RNA, 16 nt
Filed under: Escherichia coli
Lineage: Bacteria; Pseudomonadati; Pseudomonadota; Gammaproteobacteria; Enterobacterales; Enterobacteriaceae
Description: 30S RNA helix 8 from Escherichia coli (PDB 3DEG, chain E)
Source: RNAcentral